UGUAAUUACUAUAGUUUUUGAUUUGAUAAUAACAACCAAUGAUAAUUAUUGUAAUAAUUUAAUAAUGAUUAUACUUAUUUAAAAAAAAUAUUAUUACUAUGAUUAAUGGCAAAAUAAUGGGGGCUAGCCAGAAAAUAUGGGGCCUGUGUGGGCUUUUCUGUGGACAAAAAAACCCUAAUGGGGCCAAAAAGGGCAAAGUCAUAGGGGGCGCGCAUGGGCUAGCCCAUAUGUGCCCUGUUUAUGUGGGUUGACCCACAAAAAACCCUCAUGGGGCCCAAAAGGGCAGUCUUAGGGGGCCCACAUGGGCUAGCCCAUAUGGGCCCUGUUUGGUUUUUUCUGUGGGCAAGCCCGUAGUAAACCCAUAUAGGGCCAUCAAAGGGCAAACUACUGUGGGCCCCACAUGGACUAACCAGCAUUGGGCCUAGAUGGGGUUUGGUGUGGGUUUCCCCUGCCCACACUGUCCCACAGUAUACCCACAGUGGGCCUGAACGGUCAUGUUUGCUGGGUCCUCGUGUUUUCGCUGAUUUCACAUUGUACACAAAUUCUGCCACUAUGUCUUUUGCCACUCAGUGGGCGUAACUGCAGUCACUUUCGCCGAUGUCAUUUUUCCAAGUGACCACGCCAGAGCACGCCCUGUUGAGUGGCAAACAUUCAACAAAAUGGCUGCUGCCAAAAUUCCAGUAAAAUGGACUAUUAUCAGCUUAAAUUGAAUAUAGUUGGCCUUAACAGUGACUCUAACAACUUGCCAAACAACCAGUAGUCCGUGGGUGAACAUUGGCAUAUGGCCAGACAUUGCUUUUCCUGAUGUAGCAGGAUUAGGUGAGCUGUGAUUGACAGCUGAUAUAUCCUAUCAGGAAGGGGCAGUCCCUUUUUAAGCGCUGAUUGGCUGCUCCUUGGAAUGCGUCAUGUCCUGUGUUUCCCCGGGGUGUUUGUAACGAUAGCGACAGUGUGUUGUUUGUCCAGCGUGCUGGUGCCUUUCUACGUGUAGUGGUACAUGACUGUGUAACCUCAGUUGGCUGCUGGUUGAUCUGCUGUGGGUUAAACUACGCCGUAAAACUGUAAUUUGUCUGGGGUGAUACCACUAUUCGGGUUCUCCCUUUUGUUCUACGUCCUGUUCCUCGUGAGUGUUUGAUUCUUGUGCUUCUGAGUAGCAUCGCUGUAACAUCGACUUUAUCCUCCCCGCUGUAUGCUGGACUGUACACUGUCUGGUUCCUAAGUUUCAGGGUUGAAUUUUAAGAUCCGAGUGAAGGAGUGUCCGGUGCAUUUGGAGUUGACAAAUGGACUGUGGCGUUCGCGCAGUGUAGCUUCCCUUGCCGUUUACCCCUUUUGUUUCUUUUCUUUAUUUGUAUAUCAUUUUUGUCUGAAUAUUUGUAUAUUGUUUAUACUUUUAGGAGCUGAGGUUCCCACGGGUGGAUGGAUCUUAUGGUGGUAACGUUUCAACGUUUACCGUGUUACACAUUUUUGAAGUGUAUAAGUGUGUGCUUUGAGUUCACCGUGUGGUGUGAAAUUGUGCUUGUGGAUAACUUGCGCCAGAGAUCACUCCGGUGGGUAGCCUCAGCCCUGUAGGUUGGUACUGUGUUUAUUUGUUUGUGUAUUUGAUUUGUUGCCGGUCGUUGCAUUUUAGCAGUGAGGGCAUUUUACAUAAUGUUGUACGUGUUGUUUUUUUGUAUAAUUCUGUUUUGUGAUUAAUGUGAUAUGUAAUGUUUUGUGUCUUUAUUGUUAAAGUGUGACAGCUGGAGACCUGUUUUGAGCAACAUCAUCAUGUCUGUUUAAACCAUCCUUUUACCUUAUUAAAGUGGAUCAUGAAUAUUGUACAAUAAAUGAAUAUUUUUGUAUUAUACCCACGGCUCCUGCUCACUUUUACUGAGGAACGAACUUGUGCGCCUUACCGCCUUUUGGGUGUAAGGAUUAUUUCCCCGGGUGUAAUUCCCGGGGUGGCGUAGUCGGAGUUUUAUGAAAAAUCUUUGCUUUCGUCAUAAAGCUAUCCCCCAACCGCCCCCCAACCCCCCCCCCAUUGCCACACUGACAUAUACUGUCAUGAUUCUGCCAUCUUGUCCUUUGUUUAAUCGAGUCUUGUGGUAGGAUCAUGACAGACCCAUGUUUUGUGUGGGAUCACGUGGUCUUAGUAUUGGUUUUACUAGACCACGUGUUCCCUGUGUCUUGUCACUUUUACCCCGCUCCCUUGUCACCCUCAUUGUUUAAUCCAUGUCAUCUGUCGUAUUCAUUAGUUCUCCCCUAUUUAAGCUCUUUGUGUUUGUUACUCGGUGCCUGUUCAUUGUUGUUUCAUGCCUGUGAAUACUUUGUCUAAGUUAAGUCUAGUCAUAUUCAGUGUUUUGUGGAUUUAGUGUUCUGUCAGUUUAUUGUGAAGUGUUUUCCAGUUUAGUGUCUUAGUCUAGUCCUGUUUCCAGAGAAGUGUAUAUUCUGUCAUAUUAGUUAUCCUGUUUAUGUUGUUUUGCUCCCUCGUGGGCCUUUGUUUUCUGUUUAUCUAAAAGUGUUUGUGUUCAUCCACCUCUGUCUGCACUUGGGUUCCCUCUUACACACCAUAACACAUACACCAUGUGCACCAUGUUAGAUGUACAACGUUAGGCAACUAUGCAGAAUUAUGUAACUAUGAAAAACUAAAUUUUUCCCAUCUCACUUGUUUAUUUUCACUUGUGAAAGUGAGAAUAAUAAACAAACUUAAAAUUUACAAAUAAACAUUUCUAAAAUUAAAAAAAAAAACAGUGACCAAGCUUUAGCUGCUGUUGACGUAACACAGUAAAGGUGUUUAUACAUGGCAAAAACAUCAAAAUAAAUUGUGUAAAAGCAAUUAAGAAAAGUUAUGCGUUUUAUUCUCUGUACUUACCCAAUUUCACUCCAGGCUCUUCUUUUGGUUCUCACUGCCAGUGCCACAGUCAGGCUUGCUGCUGCGUCAGGAAUUGACCAAUCAGCACUGAAUGCGGAUUUUCAUGUCCAAUUAUAUUACACAGCGACAGCAAAUAAUUAUAAUAAAUUAAUAAUUUG
Misgurnus anguillicaudatus (oriental weatherfish) is the source of this 3003-nucleotide long non-coding RNA. RefSeq lists it as uncharacterized. The record is from RefSeq and is a predicted model, not a curated record. Lineage: Eukaryota; Metazoa; Chordata; Actinopteri; Cypriniformes; Cobitidae.